CCUAAGUGAAAGCCAGUUUACCCAAAUUAUUAAAGGUUCAACUAAUCACAGUGAAUCUAGGAGUCCGCCCAUGACCGUGGGCACGACUAUUCGAAUCGAUCAUACUCUGAUCAAAGGUGUACUACUGUACCCACAAGACACAACUCCACUGCACUUGAACAUGCACCGACGUGCCACCAUGGCACACCGCAAAGGAGGCUAUUAUAGGACCCGUCACAUAACCCUCCCUAUUUAAUCGCACCACACUUCAGAUUUCACCCCUCCUUUACACCAAGUC
Molecule: long non-coding RNA, 277 nt
Filed under: Oryza brachyantha (malo sina)
Lineage: Eukaryota; Viridiplantae; Streptophyta; Magnoliopsida; Poales; Poaceae
Description: long non-coding RNA (OBRA_LNC002550)
Source: RNAcentral